GCUUAACCGAAGAAGUGCAUCGGAAACUGGGUGACUUGAGUGCAGAAGAGGACAGUGGAACUCCAUGGGUAGCGGUGGAAUGCGUAGAUAUAUGGAAGAACACCAGUGGCGAAGGCGGCUGUCUGGUCUGCAACUGACGCUGAGGCUCGAAAGCAUGGGUAGCGAACAGGAUUAGAUACCCUGGUAGUCCAUGCCGUAAACGAUGAGUGCUAGGUGUUGGAGGGUUUCCGCCCUUCAGUGCCGGAGCUAACGCAUUAAGCACUCCGCCUGGGGAGUACGACCGCAAGGUUGAAACUCAAAGGAAUUGACGGGGGCCCGCACAAGCGGUGGAGCAUGUGGUUUAAUUCGAAGCUACGCGAAGAACCUUACCAGGUCUUGACAUCUUGCGCUAACCUAAGAGAUUAGGCGUUCCCUUCGGGGACGCAAUGACAGGUGGUGCAUGGUCGUCGUCAGCUCGUGUCGUGAGAUGUUGGGUUAAGUCCCGCAACGAGCGCAACCCUUGUUACUAGUUGCCAGCAUUCAGUUGGGCACUCUAGUGAGACUGCCGGUGACAAACCGGAGGAAGGUGGGGAUGACGUCAGAUCAUCAUGCCCCUUAUGACCUGGGCUACACACGUGCUACAAUGGUCGGUACAACG
RNAcentral lists this ribosomal RNA (637 nucleotides) under uncultured bacterium. RNAcentral describes it as "bacterial SSU rRNA". It matches the Rfam family "Bacterial small subunit ribosomal RNA", at positions 607 to 1244 of the family's 1533-position model. The record is from RNAcentral.